Molecule: ribosomal RNA, 756 nt
Filed under: Paenibacillus sp. ISTP10
Lineage: Bacteria; Bacillati; Bacillota; Bacilli; Caryophanales; Paenibacillaceae
Description: bacterial SSU rRNA
Rfam family: Bacterial small subunit ribosomal RNA
Source: RNAcentral
UAUGCCUGCGCAGCUAUAAUGCAGUCGAGCGGACUUGAUGGAGUGCUUGCACUCCUGAUGGUUAGCGGCGGACGGGUGAGUAACACGUAGGCAACCUGCCCUCAAGACUGGGAUAACUACCGGAAACGGUAGCUAAUACCGGAUAAUUUAUUUUGCAGCAUUGUGAAAUAAUGAAAGGCGGAGCAAUCUGUCACUUGAGGAUGGGCCUGCGGCGCAUUAGCUAGUUGGUGGGGUAACGGCCCACCAAGGCGACGAUGCGUAGCCGACCUGAGAGGGUGAACGGCCACACUGGGACUGAGACACGGCCCAGACUCCUACGGGAGGCAGCAGUAGGGAAUCUUCCGCAAUGGGCGAAAGCCUGACGGAGCAACGCCGCGUGAGUGAUGAAGGUUUUCGGAUCGUAAAGCUCUGUUGCCAAGGAAGAACGUCUUCUAGAGUAACUGCUAGGAGAGUGACGGUACUUGAGAAGAAAGCCCCGGCUAACUACGUGCCAGCAGCCGCGGUAAUACGUAGGGGGCAAGCGUUGUCCGGAAUUAUUGGGCGUAAAGCGCGCGCAGGCGGUUCUUUAAGUCUGGUGUUUAACCCCGAGGCUCAACUUCGGGUCGCACUGGAAUCUGGUGAACUUGAGUGCCGAAGAGGAUAGUGUACCUCCCCGUGUAGCGGUGAAAUGCGUAGAUAUGUGGAGGCACAUCAGUGGCGAAGGCUGCUCUCUGGUCUGUAACUGAGGCUGAGGCGUCAAUUGCGGGGUAAGCACAC